UUUUCUAUUUUAAUGGCUACAAGCACUGGGUUGCUGUGCUACGCCAAUGACAACAAAGUUAAGGAAACGAUUUUUAUACAUAUACAAACGUUACAAAGAGUAUAAAGAAUUUAGAAUACAAGUCAGUUAAGCUGAAAAAAUAAAAUAAAUUAUUGUAAAGACUCUUUGAUUGUAAAGUAUAUAAUAAAUGUGAAAGUAACUACUUGAUACUUGAAAUGAAAUUAUAGUUUUAUGUCAUUUUCUACAAUGAAAGAAGAUAUAGCUUUGUAAAUAUCAAUAUUAAAUACGAGUAAAUUAGAAAUACAAGUGGGAAGAGGAAUAUUAUGGGAUAUGAGACGAUUUAUGAAUGAAGAACGAUCAUAACGUGGACAAGAGAAGAAAAUGUGAUUAAGGUCUCCGACCUCCUCACCACAUUCACAAGCACUACUGCCAAUAAUAUGAAGCCUGGCAAGAUUUUACAAAUUCUAUGCAGACGUGCCCGUUUUCUUUUAUUUACAUUGGAUGUUGAACAAUCAGUAUCCAUACUAGAGGCAGUAUCUACAGUUAUGAACUGUGAAGGUUCAGGAACAACACCCCAGGGUCUGGGGGCUCCUUCAUCCUGCUCAUAAUAUAUUAAAUUUUAUUAAAAAAAAACUUACCAA
This 641-nucleotide long non-coding RNA is filed under the name Manduca sexta (tobacco hornworm). RNAcentral describes it as "uncharacterized LOC119193294". The record is from RNAcentral. Lineage: Eukaryota; Metazoa; Arthropoda; Insecta; Lepidoptera; Sphingidae.